This is a long non-coding RNA of Salvelinus namaycush (lake trout), 865 nucleotides long. RefSeq lists it as uncharacterized. The record is from RefSeq and is a predicted model, not a curated record. The transcript is spliced from 3 exons. NCBI's taxonomy places the organism in Eukaryota, Metazoa, Chordata, Actinopteri, Salmoniformes, Salmonidae.
CUGAGAGGGACAGGUAGGUAGAAUUGAGAACUGACGGACUCUCCUCAUAGUGGAAUUAAAGGACUUUAUCAACAUUAACAGGCUACUGCCCUUGGUUUUUUAGUACGAGCACCACAGAAAGAACUGAAACUGAGGGACUCUCCAAUUUUGAAAGAGGAUCUUCAAAGUCAAAUCAUCCAGUCAUGCAGACCUAAGUCUUGGCCUCUGAUCAACACUCUCAAGUCACUGCCUAGCCCUUUCUGGCUCUGUGCAAGCGUUGUACUGGCUUGAAUAACUGACAUACAGCUCUGUGGUGGAAGUCCCUUUUGUCACCAAUAGGAGGCGCUAUCAUAUGAGUAACAACAUGAAUUUCUGCAUGGGGCAGAAAUAAUGCGGUGCGACUCGAGUUUCGCCGUCAGCUAGAAGACGGUCUCCCUUUUUGGUCAGUGGAGGGAUGUUGAGAAGCGGACCAUCAGUAUGCUGCUCUCCCUCCGCUGAGACUGACCAUCAGAUGCAGGCAUCAUCAGCCCAAUAAAAUAAAAAUAAAAAGCAAAUUAUUUAAAUGUAUGCUCAGUCAGCUGUGCAACAGGUCUAUUACCGAUGUGAUCAUAUAACCUACCUCAAAUGAUGAAAUAUAAUUUUUUUAACCCUUGUUUGGGGUUCAUGUUUUUGUUAUUCACCCAAUGUUCACGGGUCUGAUGGACCCACAACAUUAUUGGGUUUUUAAAAUAAUACAGCCAUAAAAAUGUACGUAAAAACUUAGAUGUUGACAUAUCAAUUACAAGCAAUAUAGACAGCAUACAUGGUUAAUGUUUGCCAUUUACCUCUGCUAGAUCUCAUUUAUCAAUAAAACCGCUCUUUGAUUUUUUAAUAAAAUGUGAUUUCU